Molecule: long non-coding RNA, 538 nt
Organism: Ostrinia nubilalis (European corn borer)
Lineage: Eukaryota; Metazoa; Arthropoda; Insecta; Lepidoptera; Crambidae
Exons: 3
Source: RefSeq, a predicted model, not a curated record
AAUUUGUAAGAUUGUAAACAAACAAGAGUGUAAAAUUAAAUAAUUUCUAAGCAUAGUAUUCAGCAGGGUUUUAGCUAAAUGUGUACUGGAGGUUGUGUGUAUAAAUGCGGCAUUUGUUGUUUGAUGCUCAGUAUUUGGGCAAUUGUACAAUUGAGUUUAAUGGGAAUAUUUUACAAAAUCGAAGCGACCCCCAUGAUAAAGGACGUCGCAGUGAAAGACUAUACAGACUACGACGAUUUUAUAAAGAAGACGAAGGAAAAUUAUAAAAAUAGCGCACUAAACUGCUGGGUCGGCGCGGGAGUUUACGCUGUCAUGGCCGCUAUAUCUGUCGUCUGCAUCAUAGGCGGCGGGAAGAAGGUGAAGCAAGCAAUGGCGGCGUUCGACGACGACGAAAUAUUCUGCGCACCGCCCGAGGUCGAGCCGGGCCAGCAGAAGAAAGGGAAGAAAUAGAUUGUUUAGUAUUUAUUUAUUGUUAGUCAAUAAAGAUAUUGUUCUUACGAUGAUGUUGUGCUUGCUGAAACGAUUGAUCCGAGCUGGA